RNAcentral lists this ribosomal RNA (523 nucleotides) under Bifidobacterium breve. RNAcentral's name for it is "bacterial SSU rRNA". It matches the Rfam family "Bacterial small subunit ribosomal RNA", at positions 162 to 695 of the family's 1533-position model. Lineage: Bacteria; Bacillati; Actinomycetota; Actinomycetes; Bifidobacteriales; Bifidobacteriaceae. The record is from RNAcentral.
GGUAAUGCCGGAUGCUCCAGUUGAUCGCAUGGUCUUCUGGGAAAGCCUUUGCGGCAUGGGAUGGGGUCGCGUCCUAUCAGCUUGAUGGCGGGGUAACGGCCCACCAUGGCUUCGACGGGUAGCCGGCCUGAGAGGGCGACCGGCCACAUUGGGACUGAGAUACGGCCCAGACUCCUACGGGAGGCAGCAGUGGGGAAUAUUGCACAAUGGGCGCAAGCCUGAUGCAGCGACGCCGCGUGAGGGAUGGAGGCCUUCGGGUUGUAAACCUCUUUUGUUAGGGAGCAAGGCAUUUUGUGUUGAGUGUACCUUUCGAAUAAGCACCGGCUAACUACGUGCCAGCAGCCGCGGUAAUACGUAGGGUGCAAGCGUUAUCCGGAAUUAUUGGGCGUAAAGGGCUCGUAGGCGGUUCGUCGCGUCCGGUGUGAAAGUCCAUCGCUUAACGGUGGAUCCGCGCCGGGUACGGGCGGGCUUGAGUGCGGUAGGGGAGACUGGAAUUCCCGGUGUAACGGUGGAAUGUGUAGAU